UCGAAUAAAUUGUCAUUUACCAAUUCUGCAGUGAAAGUCGAUUCGAGUCGAUGCUGCAUUCUUUGAAUCUCGCUAAGUUCUUUCAUUAAACGACGUAGACGAACUCUUUUAUCCGGCAUCGCCAUGGUUCCCUAAAAAAACAACUUCCAUGAUUGGAAUUACUAACACCCGGAUUAUCCGACAAUGCACCAUCAGUUGGAGUGACUGCAUCCGGACGAUGCCGACUUAGAAGCCUUCUCGAUGGUGAACUCGUCGAACUACUUGCUCCAUCUUGUUCCGAAAUCUUCUCUGAAGAUCGAAAAAAUUUUCGGAAAGCAGCCACCACUUUCUCUUUCGAUCUUGUGGACAUGAUUUUUCCAAUAUUGACACACUAAUUAUAAAUUUUUAAUUUAUUGUAAUAAUUUUUGCAAUUAUAAUUAUGAUAAAAUAAUUAUUUUAAUCAUUAUUUUAUAUAACAACAACAUAAAUCAUAAUUAUGGUUAUUAAAGUAACAAUAAUUAAACAUUAAAAUUCAAUUUUUAUUAUAUUCUUAUCAAUUGAAAUUAACAAGAAUUUAAAAAAUAUUUUUAUUGCAAAAGAUAAAUAAAACUUAUUUAUUAAAUAUGAAUAUUAAUAUUUUUACAAAUUUUAUGAAUCUUUUUCAUUAAAAUUAAAAAAUAUAAUAAUAAUAAUAUAUAAUAUUAGAACUUUAUUGUUUAUUGUUUACUAUCAUAUGCCAAAUUAUAAUAAUUAUAAUAAUUCAUAAUUUAUAAAUAUGAUAAAAAAAUAAACUAAUAAAUGUUUAAUUAUUAUUAUAAAUUAUUAAAAUUAUCAUAAUAAUAUUAUAAUAAAAAUUAAUAAAUCAUUAUAGGCAUUAUAUGCUAUUAUAAUACAAA
Long non-coding RNA from Apis cerana (Asiatic honeybee), 875 nucleotides. RefSeq lists it as uncharacterized. The record is from RefSeq and is a predicted model, not a curated record. Lineage: Eukaryota; Metazoa; Arthropoda; Insecta; Hymenoptera; Apidae.